Molecule: transfer RNA, 38 nt
Filed under: Aegilops markgrafii
Lineage: Eukaryota; Viridiplantae; Streptophyta; Magnoliopsida; Poales; Poaceae
Description: partial tRNA-Trp
Source: RNAcentral
GCGCUCUUAGUUCAGUUCGGUAGAACGCGGGUCUCCAA